This 402-nucleotide ribosomal RNA is filed under the name Triticum aestivum (bread wheat). RNAcentral's name for it is "partial small subunit ribosomal RNA". Lineage: Eukaryota; Viridiplantae; Streptophyta; Magnoliopsida; Poales; Poaceae. The record is from RNAcentral.
AUGGCCUUCGGCUUCCUCGACCCGGUCUCCAACAUCAUCGCCAACACCAUCGCCUAUGCCCAAUCACCGGCGCCUGGAUCCGACGAGGAGGAGGAGGCACCGGCGCUAGAAUUCGUCUUCGAACUACCGCUUUGCCGGCACAAGUCCACUGGCAUGACCCUAGCGCAGUGGUCGCUCGACGAUCUUGUCAACUUCCUCACCACCCGCUUCCCCUACGUGUAUGUUAGGGAAGCCCUGAGCUACCUGCUCCUGGCCAGGGCCGACUAUCUGGUCGUCGUGUGCCUCAUCGAGCGAGGUCAUAACAAGCGUCACAACGCAUCGAGGAUCACUUCCCGUACCACCAUGGUCGCCUUGGAAUGUGGGCCGUGUGUGAGAGGCAUCCUGAACCAAAUGUCCUGGUGA